GACAGAGGUGCCGAGCGUUAGGCGGAAUCACUGGGCUUAAAGCGUGUGUAGGCGGACCCGUCAGUGUCUUGUGAAAUCCCCCGGCUCAACCGGGGAACGGCUGGGCAUACUGCGGGUCUUGAGACACCUAGGGGCGAGCGGAACAGGCGGUGGAGCGGUGAAAUGCGUAGAUAUCGCCUGGAACGCCGACGGUGAAAACAGCUCGCUGGGGGUGUUCUGACGCUGAGGAGCGAAAGUGUGGGGAGCGAACAGG
Molecule: ribosomal RNA, 253 nt
Filed under: uncultured bacterium
Lineage: Bacteria
Description: partial 16S ribosomal RNA
Rfam family: Bacterial small subunit ribosomal RNA
Source: RNAcentral